RNAcentral lists this transfer RNA (72 nucleotides) under Nippostrongylus brasiliensis. It matches the Rfam family "tRNA". Rfam says of the family: Transfer RNA (tRNA) molecules are approximately 80 nucleotides in length. Their secondary structure includes four short double-helical elements and three loops (D, anti-codon, and T loops). The record is from Rfam by way of RNAcentral. Lineage: Eukaryota; Metazoa; Nematoda; Chromadorea; Rhabditida; Heligmosomidae.
ACAUCGGUGGCACAGUGGUUAGUGCAGUCUGCCGGAAUCAGAAAGACGCGAGUUCAAUUCCCGUCCGAUGUC